This 301-nucleotide ribosomal RNA is filed under the name uncultured bacterium. RNAcentral describes it as "partial 16S ribosomal RNA". It matches the Rfam family "Bacterial small subunit ribosomal RNA", at positions 509 to 807 of the family's 1533-position model. The record is from RNAcentral.
CAGCCGCCGCGGGAAUACGGAGGGAGCUAGCGUUGUUCGGAAUUACUGGGCGUAAAGCGCGCGUAGGCGGUUAUUUAAGUCAGGGGUGAAAGCCCGGUGCUCAACACCGGAACAGCCCUUGAGACUGGAUAACUUGAAUCCAGGAGAGGUGAGUGGAAUUCCGAGUGUAGAGGUGAAAUUCGUAGAUAUUCGGAAGAACACCAGUGGCGAAGGCGGCUCACUGGACUGGUAUUGACGCUGAGGUGCGAAAGCGUGGGGAGCAAACAGGAUUAGAUACCCCCGUAGUCCCUGUCUCUUAUAC